AUCUUGCAACCCGACUUGAACGGAAAUCCUUUUUUGCUUUGGCUAAAGUUCUAUUCAAAUUGAAAAAUUCUGCAAAAAAGAUUGGGAGUGGAAGGCGGAUAAGUUG
Molecule: small RNA, 106 nt
Filed under: Epilithonimonas arachidiradicis
Lineage: Bacteria; Pseudomonadati; Bacteroidota; Flavobacteriia; Flavobacteriales; Weeksellaceae
Description: Chryseobacterium arachidiradicis Flavo-1 RNA
Source: RNAcentral